AGAGUUUGAUCCUGGCUCAGAUUGAACGCUGGCGGCAGGCCUAACACAUGCAAGUCGAACGGUAACAGGAAGCAGCUUGCUGCUUCGCUGACGAGUGGCGGACGGGUGAGUAAUGUCUGGGAAGCUGCCUGAUGGAGGGGGAUAACUACUGGAAACGGUAGCUAAUACCGCAUAAUGUCGCAAGACCAAAGAGGGGGACCUUCGGGCCUCUUGCCAUCGGAUGUGCCCAGAUGGGAUUAGCUUGUUGGUGGGGUAACGGCUCACCAAGGCGACGAUCCCUAGCUGGUCUGAGAGGAUGACCAGCCACACUGGAACUGAGACACGGUCCAGACUCCUACGGGAGGCAGCAGAAGGGCGAAUU
RNAcentral lists this ribosomal RNA (361 nucleotides) under uncultured Escherichia sp. Its description in RNAcentral is "bacterial SSU rRNA". It matches the Rfam family "Bacterial small subunit ribosomal RNA", at positions 8 to 365 of the family's 1533-position model. The record is from RNAcentral. Lineage: Bacteria; Pseudomonadati; Pseudomonadota; Gammaproteobacteria; Enterobacterales; Enterobacteriaceae.